Molecule: transfer RNA, 71 nt
Filed under: Marmota monax (woodchuck)
Lineage: Eukaryota; Metazoa; Chordata; Mammalia; Rodentia; Sciuridae
Rfam family: tRNA
About the family: Transfer RNA (tRNA) molecules are approximately 80 nucleotides in length. Their secondary structure includes four short double-helical elements and three loops (D, anti-codon, and T loops).
Source: Rfam by way of RNAcentral
GUGGUUGUGGCUCAGCAGUAGAGCGCUCGCCUAGCAUGUGUGAGGUGCUGGGUUUGAUCCUCGGCACCACA